AUGAGGGCGUCCUCCACACCCAUUGCUUGCACAUCAUCUAACUUGAACAAAUCUCGCAUGGCAGAGAUCACCUCCAGCGGCAACUGCUCCUUGAAACGCUCAGCAAAUGCAUCCAGGGCCUUGGCCGUGAUGUCUUCUCCGUCCUUGACGAUCCCCAGACUGCGAGCAACCAGUAUCUCAGCCGCCUUAGCCGCCGGCGCCAGCACCACCCUUGUUCUUCUAGCAGCUUUGAGCCUCGCACUGGUCCUGUGCAGCGAGAGGCCCGCACUUGUCCGGGCAAUGCUCACUCCAGCAAGAGUCUUACGGCGCGCAGCAGGAGGCCUGGGAGGCGUUGAUGCAGGGGAGGGCAGCAAGGGCUCUUGCCGAUCUUCAAAGAGCACGGACAGGCCAACCCCAGCUGGCUGCAGAUCAGCAGCAACCCUGCGAAGCCGCACCGGGGAUGGCGUGCGCUGA
Molecule: ribosomal RNA, 453 nt
Filed under: Triticum aestivum (bread wheat)
Lineage: Eukaryota; Viridiplantae; Streptophyta; Magnoliopsida; Poales; Poaceae
Description: partial small subunit ribosomal RNA
Source: RNAcentral